This is a long non-coding RNA of Triticum dicoccoides, 686 nucleotides long. RefSeq lists it as uncharacterized. NCBI's taxonomy places the organism in Eukaryota, Viridiplantae, Streptophyta, Magnoliopsida, Poales, Poaceae. The record is from RefSeq and is a predicted model, not a curated record. The transcript is spliced from 4 exons.
CGGGGCGGGAGGCGGGGAAAGCCGUCCAUGGCGAUCCUGGCGGCGUUGCUAAUGGCGUCAGUGGCACUGCCGCUCCUCAUGGUGCCCGACAUGCUCUCUAUGCCAGGCUCUGACGGCAUGGAUCGCGGCGCCGCCCUGUCGCUCCCACGCCCGCACUUCAGCAGAUCCGCGUUUGAGUCGUGCAUACCUUUAGCCACCUCCUCUCCAAUGUCCACGACUCUGAUAUACCGUGUUUGUUAGUCUUGACUGGUGUUUGUUCUCUGUAUUGUUGUGCAGGAGGCUGGAGAAGAGCAGGGAGAAAGGGGAGUCGUGUAUGGAGGUUCUGUACUUUUGUUGUAUCAACAUCUUCUCCGUUUGUCCUACAUGGCCGAGCGAGAUCGAAGCUAGCCGCCGGUAAUGUUCUUCUCCCGUGCAAGUUCUGCACUGCACUGAAGCAUCCAACACAUGGAACGGAGGGAGUAGGUGGUACAUCAACCAAGUAUGUUUCAAGGUGAGACAUCCAUCAAGUUUGUUUGGAGGCACAGGUCAAGCAUCAGAACAGUACGUUGUACUAUUUGGUUUCAUCGGUCAAUAUGGAAAUUCAACUAGCAAGGCACCGGAACAUAGAACAACUUCAGAUGUACCUCUACCCCAUCUAGAUGACCUACAUUACCGAGGGAUUCCAGAUAUAUGUAAAGCUAUACAUG